RNAcentral lists this long non-coding RNA (252 nucleotides) under Brassica napus (rape). RNAcentral describes it as "long non-coding RNA (BNAP_LNC019561)". The record is from RNAcentral. Lineage: Eukaryota; Viridiplantae; Streptophyta; Magnoliopsida; Brassicales; Brassicaceae.
UGUGUGGUUUCAGGAUCAGACAUGGACCGUGGUAAAGGAAAGGCACCGUGAGGAUUCAGGCCAUGGGAAGAUGUGUGGUGAAUGGGUCAUUGUAGAUAGAUGUGAAGUAUUGAUAGCCUAUUGUGCAACUUGUGAACUUAUGAUAGACUAAGUGUGUAACUUAUUAGUAUGAACCUAUGAAUGAUGUAUGGAUCUCAUUUUAUAUAUAUACAAUCGAUUUGCCCCUUAUGUUCUUUUGUUUAGAUUGAUUGU